CACCGUCACAAGCUGGUUUGCCAACCGCCAUUAAAACAAAAAAGAAGAAAUUCACCGUCAUCUACAGACGCUGCACACACUGAUUCCGCCAUGUUGUUUUUCACUGGCACGACCCCAACUCGGGCCUCAAAGAAAAUCCCGCGUUUCCCCACUUGUAAUUACGACUUUGUUGUGGCGUUCAACUAGUAAAUAUGAUCUUUCCGACAUGACUUGAAAGCACCAUGACUGCCAGUAUUCCCGUUAAAACACAAACAAGCUGUCUUCCAGGUUAUUUCUCAAAGGUCGUGGGGGAGCUUGGAGCCUAUCACAGGGAUCUCAGGGCGCAAUACGGCGGACACCCUGGACAGGGUUCCAACCCAUCACAAGGCACAAUAGCACACACAUUCACAAACCUAUUCACAUACGGACAAUUUGGAAAUGCCAAACAGCCUACAGUGGUGGAGGAAACUGGAGUACCCAGAGGAAACCCCAGAAGCACAGGGAGAACAUGCCAGCUCUGUGCGCACACAGGGCGGAGGCAGGAUUCAAAACCCCAAACCCACGGAGUCACGAGGCAAACAUGCUAAGCUACCAUGCCCCCAGAUGCGCCACAUAAAUAGGUUAAAAACAUGUAAUCAUUGAUAUGGUGAGGCUUUCUGCAUUUAGAUGUUUAUUUAGUAUUUUUAGAAGGAGUCUCUGGUGUCAGUGUAUUGUAACAGUCAGAGGUAAAGCUGUAACACACAAAGGUCUUUAAGAUAGAGGAGUUUACGCACUGUGGUUUCUUGGUAACAUGACAAGCUGCAUUUUGGGUCUUUUUAAGUGAGAGAAAAAAAGACAGGCUGGUGAGGGAAUGACUGCUAUAAUUGUAGCUGGUAUAAUGUAAGUGAUAACAGGAACUAACUUGUUUCGCCCACUUUAAUAGGAACACCAGUAUACCUACUAGUUCAUGCAAUUAUCCAAUCAGCACAAUGCAUAAAAUCAUGCUGCAGUGAAACUAGACUAGCUGGCCAGGUUUGGAGAGCCUGUGCCGACUGCAACCUCCGAUUCUUGUUCUUGAAUGACAGGAGUGAAACCUUAUGUGGUGUUCUGCUCUUGUAGCCUCAAGGUCUAAUGUGUUGUGUGUUCUGAGAUGCCUUACUGCUCACCACGGCUGUAAAGAGUUGUUAUUUGACUUGACUUGACAAAGCUUUCCCAUCUGGUCAUUCUCCUUUUGACCUCUCUUAGCAACAAGGUGUCUCUGACCACAGAACUACCAGUCACUGGAUGUGUUUUUGUUUCUUUGUUUUUUCACACCAUUCUUUGUUAACUCUAGAGACUGUUUUGUGUGAAAAUCCCAAGAGAUCAGCAUUUUCUAAAAUACUCAAUCCAGCCAAUCUGGCACAAUUUCCCCCAUUCUGAUGGUUGAUGUGAACACAAGCUCUUGACCUAUUGCAGGAAAUUUUGGGCCACUUCAGCCUGCACUGGCCCUGCUAGCUCACAAACUUAAACUAUGAACUUAAUUAAGCAAUCUGACUUGUAUUUUUAGAGAAAUAACAUAGCAGAACUCAUGGAGACUGGAUUCAGAAGAAGCAGGUUUAUUCAGCAGUCAGCAGUCAGCAAGACAGCAGAAUGAACCCAGCUGGGCCCAGCUAGGCCCAGGGCUACACUCUUCACUCAAAGUGAAACAUGCAACAAAAACAAUCGUUUACAAUGUGUCUUAUAUACAAUUAAAGCAUCCAUGUACCUUUAGUGUGUGCCCUUAUCACAAUUCUGCACACCUUAUUCACUUACGUCUUUCUAUGGGCCCCUGAGUUUUUUUAGUGAAACUUUUGCCUGCAUCUGCUCGUCUCCUUUUGCUGAGUCACGAGUGCAUGCGGUCCUUAUCUAUUCCUAAUCGAUGGCCUUUGUCUUUUUUCUCUACUGUGUUCUGGGCGGGUGCUUUAUAUGUUUCAUUUUUAAUGUCUUUUAAAGUUAUCCUUGCAUCUAAAUGUAUGAUCCAAAACCAUCUACCCUGGUUCUUCUGGGCAGAACCCUGGAUCUCCCAAUAAGAAGAAAAAGAUAAAUACUUUUUCCCAAACAUACUUUACUGUGCCUUUCAUAAAGAAAAGAUACGCAUAUAUCAUAUGGUGCACAGACCCCCAGUAGCCCUCUGCUUCUAAAUACGCCCAAGUUACCCAGAUGCCCUGGACAAAAAAAACUAUGUUUACGCCAAGAACUUAUGUAAAACCCAUGAUUGUUAAAAAGUCAUUCUUUUAUGUGUUUUUAUUAAACUACACAAAGUUUUCAAAA
This is a long non-coding RNA of Ictalurus furcatus (blue catfish), 2247 nucleotides long. RefSeq lists it as uncharacterized. Lineage: Eukaryota; Metazoa; Chordata; Actinopteri; Siluriformes; Ictaluridae. The record is from RefSeq and is a predicted model, not a curated record. The transcript has 2 exons.